Long non-coding RNA from Manduca sexta (tobacco hornworm), 298 nucleotides. RefSeq lists it as uncharacterized. The transcript has 3 exons. The record is from RefSeq and is a predicted model, not a curated record. Lineage: Eukaryota; Metazoa; Arthropoda; Insecta; Lepidoptera; Sphingidae.
UGGACGAGUAUGUGUUUUUGUUUUGGUUUUUAAUAAUAUGCUGCUCUUCUGCGUACACUGCAAAAAAAUGUUCCAUAAAACCGGAAUGUAGACCUACGUGUGCUGUACCAAAUCCACCGAAUUGUACCUACACCCAACCAUCUGAUACAAAUAUCGACGGAUGUCAAUGUCAAGAAGGUUAUAUAUUGUCGAAAACAGAUGGCGAAUGUAUUAAAAUCGAACUUUGUCCAGCUAAUCUGGGAUGCAAUGGCGACCCUAAUGCUGUAGUGAGACAAUGUCCUUUGCCAUGCUGCCCUUC